This 468-nucleotide ribosomal RNA is filed under the name uncultured bacterium. RNAcentral's name for it is "partial 16S ribosomal RNA". It matches the Rfam family "Bacterial small subunit ribosomal RNA", at positions 28 to 507 of the family's 1533-position model. The record is from RNAcentral.
GACGAACGCUGGCGGCGUGCUUAACACAUGCAAGUCGAACGGAAAGGCCCUGCUUUUGUGGGUUGCUCGAGUGGCGAACGGGUGAGUAACACGUGAGUAACCUGCCCUUGACUUUGGGAUAACUUCAGGAAACUGGGGCUAAUACCGGAUAGGAGCUCCUGCUGCAUGGUGGGGGUUGGAAAGUUUCGGCGGUUGGGGCUGGACUCGCGGCUUAUCAGCUUGUUGGUGGGGUAGUGGCUUACCAAGGCUUUGACGGGUAGCCGGCCUGAGAGGGUGACCGGCCACAUUGGGACUGAGAUACGGACCAGACUGCUACGGGAGGCAGCAGGGGGGAAUAUUGCACAAUGGGCGGAAGCCUGAUGCAGCAACGCCGCGUGCGGGAUGACGGCCUUCGGGUUGUAAACCGCUUUCGCCUGUGACGAAGCGUGAGUGACGGUAAUGGGUAAAGAAGCAACGGCUAACUACGUG